RNAcentral lists this ribosomal RNA (1387 nucleotides) under uncultured bacterium. Its description in RNAcentral is "bacterial SSU rRNA". It matches the Rfam family "Bacterial small subunit ribosomal RNA", at positions 25 to 1401 of the family's 1533-position model. The record is from RNAcentral.
CAGGAUGAACGCUAGCGGCAGGCUUAACACAUGCAAGUCGAGGGGCAGCGGGGAGGAAGCUUGCUUUCUCCGCCGGCGACCGGCGCACGGGUGAGUAACACGUAUGCAACCUGCCCCUGUCAGGGGGACAACCCGCCGAAAGGCGGGCUAAACCCGCGUACAUGCCACCGGGGCAUCCCGGAGGCAGGAAAGGCUUCGGCCGGACAGGGAUGGGCAUGCGGCGCAUUAGGCAGUAGGCGGGGUAACGGCCCACCUAACCGACGAUGCGUAGGGGUUCUGAGAGGAAGGUCCCCCACACUGGUACUGAGACACGGACCAGACUCCUACGGGAGGCAGCAGUGAGGAAUAUUGGUCAAUGGUCGGGAGACUGAACCAGCCAAGCCGCGUGAGGGAGGAAGGUACAGAGUAUCGUAAACCUCUUUUGUCAGGGAACAAAGGCGGGGACGUGUCCCCGGAUGAGUGUACCUGAAGAAAAAGCAUCGGCUAACUCCGUGCCAGCAGCCGCGGUAAUACGGAGGAUGCGAGCGUUAUCCGGAUUUAUUGGGUUUAAAGGGUGCGCAGGCGGUCUGUUAAGUCAGCGGUCAAAGCCCGGGGCUCAACCCCGGCCCGCCGUUGAAACUGGCAGUCUCGAGUUGGAGAGAAGUAUGCGGAAUGCGCGGUGUAGCGGUGAAAUGCAUAGAUAUCGCGCAGAACUCCGAUUGCGAAGGCAGCAUGCCGGCUCCACACUGACGCUGAGGCACGAAAGCGUGGGUAUCGAACAGGAUUAGAUACCCUGGUAGUCCACGCAGUAAACGAUGAAUGCUGGCUGUCCGGGGGGACUGACCCCUGGGUGGCGAAGCGAAAGCGUUAAGCAUUCCACCUGGGGAGUACGCCGGCAACGGUGAAACUCAAAGGAAUUGACGGGGGCCCGCACAAGCGGAGGAACAUGUGGUUUAAUUCGAUGAUACGCGAGGAACCUUACCCGGGCUCAAACGGGGAGUGGCGCAGGCAGAGACGCCUGUUUCCCACGGGACACUCCCCGAGGUGCUGCAUGGUUGUCGUCAGCUCGUGCCGUGAGGUGUCGGCUUAAGUGCCAUAACGAGCGCAACCCCCGCGUGCAGUUGCUAACAGUCAACGCUGAGGACUCUGCACGGACUGCCGGCGCAAGCCGCGAGGAAGGCGGGGAUGACGUCAAAUCAGCACGGGCCUUACGUCCGGGGCGACACACGUGUUACAAUGGGUGGUACAGCGGGAAGCCAGGCGGCGACGCCGAGCGGAACCCGAAAUCCACUCUCAGUUCGGAUCGGAGUCUGCAACCCGACUCCGUGAAGCUGGAUUCGCUAGUAAUCGCGCAUCAGCCAUGGCGCGGUGAAUACGUUCCCGGGCCUUGCACUCACCGCCCGUCAAG